AGCUCAAUUUGUGUUUACAACUAAUCACGACCAGUUACAAAUGUCUUUGUUCCUUCUCCACUCCCACUGCUCCAUUUGACUAGCCUAAA
This 89-nucleotide small RNA is filed under the name Aotus nancymaae (Ma's night monkey). RNAcentral describes it as "Y RNA (ENSANAG00000006073.1)". It matches the Rfam family "Y RNA", at positions 24 to 96 of the family's 96-position model. Rfam says of the family: Y RNAs are components of the Ro ribonucleoprotein particle (Ro RNP), in association with Ro60 and La proteins. Lineage: Eukaryota; Metazoa; Chordata; Mammalia; Primates; Aotidae. The record is from RNAcentral.